GUACACACCGCCCGUCGCUCCUACCGAUUUUGAGUGAUCCGGUGAACCUUCUGGACUGUAGUCGGGCUUGACCUGAUUGUGGGAAGUUAAGUAAACCUUAUCACUUAGAGGAAGGAGAAGUCGUAACAAGGUUUCCGUAGGUGAACCUGCAGAAGGAUCA
RNAcentral lists this ribosomal RNA (160 nucleotides) under uncultured eukaryote. Its description in RNAcentral is "partial small subunit ribosomal RNA". It matches the Rfam family "Eukaryotic small subunit ribosomal RNA", at positions 1662 to 1828 of the family's 1831-position model. The record is from RNAcentral.